RNAcentral lists this unclassified non-coding RNA (228 nucleotides) under plant metagenome. Its description in RNAcentral is "partial contains small subunit ribosomal RNA, internal transcribed spacer 1, and 5.8S ribosomal RNA". The record is from RNAcentral.
UCUCCGUAGGUGAACCUGCGGAGGGAUCAUUACAGAGUUCAUGCCCUACCGGGUAGAUCUCCCACCCUAUGUUAUUAUACUUUGUUGCUUUGGCGGGCCGUUAGGCUCCGGCCCGACUACCGGCCCCGGCUGGUAAGCGCCCGCCAGAGGACCCAAAACCCUGAAUAUUAGUGUCGUCUGAGCACUAUAUAAUAGUUAAAACUUUCAACAACGGAUCUCUUGGUUCUG